AACGCACAUUGCACCCUUUGGUAUUCCAGAGGGUAUGCCUGUUCGAGCGUCAUUUCAACCCUCAAGCUCAGCUUGGUAUUGGGUGUCACCUGGUUAAUAGCAUAGGUGUGCCUCAAAAUCAGUGGCGGUGCCAUCUGGCUUCAAGCGAAGUAAAAUUCUCGCUAUGGAGGUUUGGAUUUGUGCUUGCCAGUCAAUCUAAUUUAUCAAAAGGUUGACCUCGGAUCAGGUAGGGAUACCCGCUGAACUUAA
This 249-nucleotide unclassified non-coding RNA is filed under the name uncultured fungus. Its description in RNAcentral is "sequence contains ITS2". The record is from RNAcentral. Lineage: Eukaryota; Fungi.